CUAUGGCGAUACCACCCUGAUCUUGGAAGCUAAGCACUGUCAGGCCUGGUUAGUACUUGGAUGGGAGAAUAUACAUAACAUAUUUUUCAUAGAAAUUAGGU
This 101-nucleotide ribosomal RNA is filed under the name Prolemur simus (greater bamboo lemur). Lineage: Eukaryota; Metazoa; Chordata; Mammalia; Primates; Lemuridae. The record is from RNAcentral.